AGCGAACGCUGGCGGCAGGCCUAACACAUGCAAGUCGAACGAACUCUUCGGUGUUAGUGGCGGACGGGUGAGUAACACGUGGGAACGUGCCUUUUGGUUCGGAAUAACUCAGGGAAACUUGUCCUAAUACCGCAUGUGCCCUUCGGGGGAAAGAUUUAUCGCCAUUAGAGCGGCCCGCGUCUGAUUAGCUAGUUGGGGAGGUAACGGCUCACCAAGGGGACGAUCAGUAGCUGGUCUGAGAGGAUGACCAGCCACACUGGGACUGAGACACGGCCCAGACUCCUACGGGAGGCAGCAGUGGGGAAUCUUGCGGAAUGGGCGAGAGCCUGACGCAGCCAUGCCGCGUGAAUGAUGAAGGUCUUAGGAUUGUAAAAUUCUUUCACCGGGGACGAUAAUGACGGUACCCGGAGAAGAAGCCCCGGCUAACUUCGUG
Molecule: ribosomal RNA, 433 nt
Filed under: uncultured bacterium
Lineage: Bacteria
Description: partial 16S ribosomal RNA
Rfam family: Bacterial small subunit ribosomal RNA
Source: RNAcentral